Molecule: ribosomal RNA, 793 nt
Filed under: uncultured Johnsonella sp.
Lineage: Bacteria; Bacillati; Bacillota; Clostridia; Lachnospirales; Lachnospiraceae
Description: bacterial SSU rRNA
Rfam family: Bacterial small subunit ribosomal RNA
Source: RNAcentral
ACACAUGCAAGUCGAACGAGAUGCGUAUUGGAAAGCUUCGGCCGGAAGAUGCGUUAUCUAGUGGCGGACGGGUGAGUAACACGUGGGUAACCUGCCUUAUGGAGGGGGAUAACAGAGAGAAAUCACUGCUAAUACCGCAUAAGCACACAGUACCGCAUGGUACAGUGUGAAAAGAUUUAUCGCCAUAAGAUGGACCCGCGUCUGAUUAGCCAGUUGGCAGGGUAAAAGCCUACCAAAGCAACGAUCAGUAGCCGAUCUGAGAGGAUGACCGGCCACAUUGGGACUGAGACACGGCCCAAACUCCUACGGGAGGCAGCAGUGGGGAAUAUUGCACAAUGGGGGAAACCCUGAUGCAGCGACGCCGCGUGAGUGAAGAAGUAUUUCGGUAUGUAAAGCUCUAUCAGCAGGGAAGAUAAUGACAGUACCUGACUAAGAAGCCCCGGCUAACUACGUGCCAGCAGCCGCGGUAAUACGUAGGGGGCAAGCGUUAUCCGGAUUUACUGGGUGUAAAGGGAGCGUAGACGGAGUGGCAAGUCUGAAGUGAAAACCCUGGGCUUAACCUGGGGACUGCUUUGGAAACUGUUAAUCUAGAGUGUUGGAGAGGUAAGUGGAAUUCCUGGUGUAGCGGUGAAAUGCGUAGAUAUCAGGAAGAACACCGGAGGCGAAGGCGGCUUACUGGACAAUAACUGACGUUGAGGCUCGAAAGCGUGGGGAUCAAACAGGAUUAGAUACCCUGGUAGUCCACGCUGUAAACGAUGAAUACUAGGUGUCGGGGAGCAAAGCUUCUCGGUGC